Molecule: ribosomal RNA, 492 nt
Filed under: uncultured bacterium
Lineage: Bacteria
Description: partial 16S ribosomal RNA
Rfam family: Bacterial small subunit ribosomal RNA
Source: RNAcentral
AGUGAACGCUGGCGGUAGGCCUAACACAUGCAAGUCGAACGGCAGCACAGUAAGAGCUUGCUCUUACGGGUGGCGAGUGGCGGACGGGUGAGGAAUACAUCGGAAUCUACUUUUUCGUGGGGGAUAACGUAGGGAAACUUACGCUAAUACCGCAUACGACCUACGGGUGAAAGCAGGGGAUCUUCGGACCUUGCGCGAUUGAAUGAGCCGAUGUCGGAUUAGCUAGUUGGCGGGGUAAAGGCCCACCAAGGCGACGAUCCGUAGCUAGUCUGAGAGGAUGAUCAGCCACACUGGAACUGAGACACGGUCCAGACUCCUACGGGAGGCAGCAGUGGGGAAUAUUGGACAAUGGGCGCAAGCCUGAUCCAGCCAUACCGCGUGGGUGAAGAAGGCCUUCGGGUUGUAAAGCCCUUUUGUUGGGAAAGAAAAGCAGCAGGUUAAUACCCCGCUGUUCUGACGGAACCCAAAGAAUAAGCACCGGCUAACUUCGUG